UACAGGGGGGGCAAGCGUUGUCCGGAAUUAUUGGGCGUAAAGGGCUCGUAGGCGGUCUGUCGCGUCGAAAGUGAAAACUCAGGGCUUAACCCUGAGCCUGCUUCCGAUACGGGCAGACUAGAGGUAUGCAGGGGAGAACGGAAUUCCUGGUGUAGCGGUGAAAUGCGCAGAUAUCAGGAGGAACACCGGUGGCGAAGGCGGUUCUCUGGGCAUUACCUGACGCUGAGGAGCGAAAGUGUGGGGAGCGAACAGG
RNAcentral lists this ribosomal RNA (253 nucleotides) under uncultured bacterium. Its description in RNAcentral is "partial 16S ribosomal RNA". It matches the Rfam family "Bacterial small subunit ribosomal RNA", at positions 524 to 776 of the family's 1533-position model. The record is from RNAcentral.